UUGUGGUAAUUGGUUAUCAAUUUCUUUUCCGUAAGUGCGAAUAUAAUUUUUUAGUUUUUCCUUGGUUCUUUUAACUGAAGAAUCGUCUGAUGAAUUUGAAGAAUGCUAGAGUUAAACGAAGUAAGCCUCUUAGAGGCAAUUCAUCUACUGCUGCUUUUAUAAAUAGAAGUAUAAAUGGGUAUAUCUUGAUUAUUGGUGAUUUAUGAUGAUCUGGAUUUUGAGAUCUAUAAUUCUAGGCUUCUUCUAGUUUGCAUACUAUUUUGUAGAUUUUUUUUUUUUUUCAAAUUUAAAGUUCUAGGUUAAUUUUUAAUUUGAGACUUAUAGUGUUGCACUUCUCAAUCACAUGGAAAGGGUGAGUGUAAAUUGUGGUCUUCUACUUUAAUUAAUAUUAUGUUUCCUGAUGAUUUUGCAUUCCACUUUAGAUUUUCAUAAAAGUAAAAGUGAAUUGAUAUAGUAUUAUAUUGUCAAAACAACUAGCGUGACCUACUUCAUUUGGUGUUUCUACUCAAUCAGUGACAUCCCAAGUAGAAGGGAAGCUUGUGUAUCAUUAAAAAAAAUGUGGUUGAACCUCCAAUUUCCUAGUGGUGAGAAAACGAACAUGUAUGCUAUACUCUAUGUCUAAAGAUAAAUUGAACUAUCAACUUCCGCAAGAAUGUGGAGGUUUUCUCGCUUUUGUUUCUUCUUUCUGAUUUUCUUAUAUUAAAACAAUUAGGUGAGAUGUGUAUCUAGAUUUUAGAUGCUUUUGACAAUUGAAGAUCAACAGGAAAACUUGAUUGCAACUGUAUCCAUAUUCAAUCGUAUUAAUUAUGUGGUGUUAAUUGCUAGUUUGUUUUACAUUGCUGGAUCUUUUAGUUGUUUCCGUAUCUUUUUAGUUUUAGUCAUAUGCCCGUCGACCUAUUCAGGACAAUGUUGAGAAAUUUCUUACACCAUAAUAUAGUAUCAAGUGGAGCUUCUACUCGAAUAGGUUGCUGGUGCGCACUUGAUAUUUGAUUGGGAUCUCAAACUUCUUGGUCUUAUCUUGUAAACUCGCAUUAUAUGACAUUAUCAUUUUGGCUGUCCAGAGUAUCUUCGAAAUAUUAUGGAUUCAUGGGUUUAGAUAUAGCUCAUAUGAUCUGUGGAUGGAUACUCGAUCUAGUGCUUUCUUUUAUAUGUUAUUUACAAUGAUAAGUUAAUCAUUAUUUUUAUGUUUAACUGGACUUUAUGUGUCUUACCUGGACUUGAUUUUUGCUAAGUUUUCUUGUAUUUACCUUUAAAUCAUCCGUUGAAUGGAAUCAUCAUUUUCUGUUUCUUAUUUAAUUCAUAAAUGAACUCUCAUGCUAUUUACGGGCAGAAAUGCUUUCAGGUUUUAUUUGAUAGACUAGAAAUCAUGACUCUAGGAAGUUUUUUCUAUUUAAGAGAUGCAUAUUUCCUUCUUGUAUGAUACUUCAUGGCUUCAGGACAUGUUCAGAUAUUAGAAAUCCUAUGCUUAUGUUUUUCUGGGGGAUUUUUAAAACCCAUAAGUAAUAGAGAAUAAUUUGUAUGUCCAUCCUGCAUAUCGGUGUUGUUAGAAAUCAUUUUUAGCUGUAUUUGUAUUCUGACUACUUGGUUGUGCCAAGAACGUAUAGGCUCUAUGGUGUCACACCUUACAUUAGCUUGUUAUGUACUUUGAAAACUAGUGAGUGUCUACAUUUACCAUACUUGACUGCUUAUACACAUAUAUAUUUCGAACUCUCUCCAAGUUAAUUCAUGACUCGUGGGAAGUUAAGGACUAUGGCUCAAGUCCUUAAACCAACAUGAAACUUUAUUUUUUCUUAAUGACGAGCCGAUUUUUAUUUUAAACUCCUACAUUAAGGUACUCUUCAAGUUGCUACUCUUUUUGUGGAAGAUUAUGUUAAAAAAAUUGCAAAGUGAGGUGUUCAAGUCAUGCCAUAUGGAUUCUGUUAAGAGAAAUCAUCACCGGAAUCAUUUGACAUGAAGUUAUACGAAUCUUUGAAGUAAUAUGUGGUUGAUUUAUAUUUGCUAAGUUUAAAAAUGUAUUAGACAUUUGGGUUUGUCUUCUAAGGGCUUGUUGUUAACAAUCCGAGCUACGCUAUGCUAGUGUGGAUAUAUCUUAAUCCUCUGCAAUUCUAGCUCAUUUUCUAUUAAGAAAUAUUGUAUCUCAUUUUUUUUCUGUUUCAUUUUUUCCCUUGUAUGAUGAAUACAUGCUUGAUUUACUAUAUGUUUCUAAUGGACCCAUUAUCCAACGCAAAAGGUAUGCUUCUUUAUGACUGAAAUGUCACUACAAUUGAUAGAGAUUUUGAUCUCUGACUCAUAAUCCUUCAUUGUGUUUAUGCAUAAAUAUAUUCUGUAUUCUUGUUGGAGGACUGUUGUCUGUUUGUCCUUUUCAGGAAAAGAAUGAGAUUAUUUUUGAGUCUAUACAUCGAUGAAUAGGAGUAUACUGCCAAGCAUUGAUUUUUUAUU
Lycium ferocissimum is the source of this 2439-nucleotide long non-coding RNA. RefSeq lists it as uncharacterized. The record is from RefSeq and is a predicted model, not a curated record. The transcript is spliced from 2 exons. Lineage: Eukaryota; Viridiplantae; Streptophyta; Magnoliopsida; Solanales; Solanaceae.